AUCAGAAUGGUGGGAACACAAGGCAAUGUCCUUGUGCUGCUUUUACGCUCAAGGACGAAGCACGGCAUGUUUUCAAGAAAGCCCAUUAUUACUUGUAUAAUCAAUAAAAACAUAUGUUGCUGCUUUGGUAUUUCUGGAAUGUUAAGAAAACAAGUCUUAAAAUGUAAACAUAGGUAAUGCUUAAAUAAAAACUACCACAGCAGGACAGAUGGCGCUGUUUUGCCUGAGCGAGCGGCAGCCCUCUACUGCUGUGCUUCGGCACAAUUCAUCUCGUGUGAUGAGCUUACUUUCGGGCCUGUCAUAAGAAAAACUACAACAUUUGGCGCCCGAACAGGGACCUGAAUUCCGAGGACGAGUGAAAGCUACCCGCCAUGCAACAUCGCAACAAGCUGCCGUGUUCUCCUUGAUGUUGCACAAGCUGCAAAACAAAAAGGGGGAAAUGUAGUGGAAUAACUGAGGACAUGGAAAGGAGACGUGACCCAUGAACCCCCAUCCCCCACCCCCAGCAAACUGGGGGCUGGCGAAUAAGCCAGAACUUCAAGCAGUCCUGAUUGCUUUGAGCCCCACCCCCGGCCAACCGGGGGCAUGCGAAUAAGCCAGAACUGUAAACAGUCCUGAAUGCUUUGAGCCCCCCCUCCCCGGUAAACCGGGGGCCUGCGAAUAAGCAUUGAGUGCUUUGGGCACUGAUCCAUGCGAUGUCCUCAGUAUAAUCAUAAUGGUGGGAACACAAGUCAAUGUCCUUGUGCUGCUUUUGCGCACAAGGACGAAGCACGGCAUGUUUUCAAGAAAGCCCAUUAUUACUUGUAUAAUCAAUAAAAACAUAUGUUGCUGCUUUGGUAUUUCUGGAAUGUUAAGAAAACAAGCCUUAAAAUGUAAACAUAGAUAAUGCUUAAAUAAAAGCUACCACAGCAGGACAGACGGCGCUGUUUUGCCUGAGCGAGCGGCAGCCCUCUACUGCUGUGCUUCGGCACAAUUCA
Long non-coding RNA from Lagenorhynchus albirostris (white-beaked dolphin), 977 nucleotides. RefSeq lists it as uncharacterized. The record is from RefSeq and is a predicted model, not a curated record. The transcript is spliced from 2 exons. NCBI's taxonomy places the organism in Eukaryota, Metazoa, Chordata, Mammalia, Artiodactyla, Delphinidae.